This 253-nucleotide ribosomal RNA is filed under the name uncultured bacterium. Its description in RNAcentral is "partial 16S ribosomal RNA". It matches the Rfam family "Bacterial small subunit ribosomal RNA", at positions 524 to 776 of the family's 1533-position model. The record is from RNAcentral.
UACGAAAGGUGCAAGCGUUAAUCGGAAUUACUGGGCGUAAAGCGCGCGUAGGCGGUGUGUUAAGUCGGAUGUGAAAGCCCAGGGCUCAACCUUGGAACUGCAUCCGAUACUGGCACGCUAGAGUGCAGUAGAGGGAGGUGGAAUUUCCGGUGUAGCGGUGAAAUGCGUAGAGAUGGGAAGGAACACCGGUGGCGAAGGCAGCUCACUGGCCCGAUACUGACGCUGAGGUGCGAAAGCGUGGGGAGCAAACAGG